GAUGAACGCUGGCGGCGUGCCUAAUACAUGCAAGUCGAGCGAACAGACGAGGAGCUUGCUCCUCUGACGUUAGCGGCGGACGGGUGAGUAACACGUGGAUAACCUACCUAUAAGACUGGGAUAACUUCGGGAAACCGGAGCUAAUACCGGAUAAUAUAUUGAACCGCAUGGUUCAAUAGUGAAAGACGGUUUUGCUGUCACUUAUAGAUGGAUCCGCGCCGCAUUAGCUAGUUGGUAAGGUAACGGCUUACCAAGGCAACGUUGCGUAGCCGACCUGAGAGGGUGAUCGGCCACACUGGAACUGAGACACGGUCCAGACUCCUACGGGAGGCAGCAGUAGGGAAUCUUCCGCAAAGGGCGAAAGCCUGACGGAGCAACGCCGCGUGAGUGAUGUAGGUCUUCGGAUCGUAAAACUCUGUUAUUAGGGAAGAACAAAUGUGUAAGUAACUAUGCACGUCUUGACGGUACCUAAUCAGAAAGCCACGGCUAACUACGUG
Molecule: ribosomal RNA, 497 nt
Filed under: uncultured bacterium
Lineage: Bacteria
Description: partial 16S ribosomal RNA
Rfam family: Bacterial small subunit ribosomal RNA
Source: RNAcentral